UAUGAGAAUGAACAGUACAUAAAAUAAUAUUUACACAUAUAUUUUAUGUACUGUUCAUUCUCAUAUUACUGAUGAA
This 76-nucleotide microRNA precursor is filed under the name Pelobates cultripes (western spadefoot toad). The record is from RNAcentral. Lineage: Eukaryota; Metazoa; Chordata; Amphibia; Anura; Pelobatidae.